CCCCCCCAACACUGGCUGCAGCGGCGGUGGGUAAGGGGGCACCAAAGUCCCCUUCCCUUCCCAAUCCCCACCACACACCACCCCCUCCUCUGCCCUCCCCCUAGCAGUGCAGUCUCGGAGAUGGGGGACCUUCAGGCGCCCGCUGCAUUCUGGGAAGCCCCUGCCGCCAUUGCUAGCCCCCCAGCUGAGGGGAGAAAGAGAGGCCAGGUCAACAGGAAAGGGUCGGAGCUCCGCGGGGCCUCAGAAUUUGAACCAAUCCCAAGCAUGCGCACAGAGUAAACAGGAAAAGGUCGCCUCUGGGAGCUGGGAGGGAGAGACGUCCGCAGGAGCUUGGGAACUGUUCCAUGCUGCCAGGCCCGAUCAGCUUUCCCAGCAAUUCCUGUUGCUGUUUCUGCUGGUCUUUUGGUGAAUGUUUCUUUGGCCUUCACUGCUCUCUGUGGCAGAGAAUUCCAGGCCUGGCAUACGGGGCCCUGUGGGAGCAGGUCAGUCCUGGGCACGGUCAAGAGGUUUGGGAGACAGUGGGACUAGUCAAGAGCCUGACUUAACCCCCCCCGUGUGUGUGUGUGUGUGUGUUUCCAAAUGCCCCACCCCCAACGCGUUUGUUUUUGACAAACACUGAAAAGCAGUGACACAGCAUUGCCCAGAUCCCAUCUCCACAACAACACAGCUCCAGGCUGCGUAAGAUGAGACAAAGUACCGAACAACUGAGGGCUCUAUGAGAGAGCUCAGAGUUGGGUUUGGGGUUGGGGCGGGGGCGGAGAUAUUAGGGAGGGGGAGUUCAGAAGGUAGUUCUCGAACUUAGCUCCACAGGCAACUAAAGGCAGAGCCACCCCAUGGGUACUGCCAUGGAAACCAGGAAAUACCCGAGAGGCCGGAAUUGGAUGUU
Chiloscyllium plagiosum (whitespotted bambooshark) is the source of this 886-nucleotide non-coding RNA. Lineage: Eukaryota; Metazoa; Chordata; Chondrichthyes; Orectolobiformes; Hemiscylliidae. The record is from RefSeq and is a predicted model, not a curated record.